RNAcentral lists this long non-coding RNA (1231 nucleotides) under Zonotrichia albicollis (white-throated sparrow). Its description in RNAcentral is "lncRNA (ENSZALG00000008868.1)". The record is from RNAcentral. Lineage: Eukaryota; Metazoa; Chordata; Aves; Passeriformes; Passerellidae.
AUGGUUGUGAUCGCUGCCACAGCACUGCUAUUCCUUAGCAGGCAGCUGGUGCCGAUGCUCACCCGUCAGACUGAAUCUAACAAUAUUGAUCAGCAAAGAGUUUUUCAAGCAAAGUGUAGACAUCUCUUACAAAAAUGCCCACUCCUGGGAUGUGAGAAAGCAGAAGACUGUGUAUGUUUUAGAGACAUCAUGUCUACUGCAGCAACAUUUUCAUAUUUCUGGAAAUUGUGACUUGACACUUAAAAGCAAAAAAAACACCCCAAAAAACAACAAACAAACAAACAAAAAACCAAACAAAAAAACCACCCAAAACCCACCCCAAAACUCAAACAAAAACAAACUGGUGAUUCUAAGACAUUCCAGUUUUCAGAAUUAAAAUAUUUAGCAUUUUCUGAAACAUCAAACAUAUACUGUUUCAUACUGAGAACCCCAAAUUACUGGUUAAUUCUGAAAAACUAAGUCUAUAACUGCUGAACCUCUUGCUGCCACUCUAUUCACUGAUAAAAAUGAAGUAGCUCAUAUUGCCAUCUGAAAUAUUUUGGCCUUUGGAGCAGACACAGAUCUGCUGUCUCAUGAGAUCAUGGCUAAGUCAACAGUAUUUAUUCAAGCCUUUGGUUUUUCACUGGCUGAGCCUCAAAGGAUCUGUGUUUACCUUCAGCUGUUAACAGCCACCCAGCUGGAGAGCAACAUGAGAAAUGAUGCUCAGUGCUUGGUUUCAGAGUCAAACACCUUCACAGCUUGAGGAGGAGGAAGAAAAGAAAGGUGAUUUGGGCAUGGGUUUGGUUCAUCCCUUUGUGCACAAUGGGGCCCACUGAGAUUUUUGGAUCUGGAUUCAAAUGUCCAUGAAAUGCGGGAGCUUUAAGAUCCAGGAUCUUGGUUUGGUUUGGAUCUACCUCUGUGCUUUGAACUGUUUGUGUAUUUACUUGAAGAUCGUCCAACUGGUCCAUGUUUUGUGAGUCUGGAAAACUGAGUUGAAAAUGUGACCAACUGUCUUUUUUGUGGUAUUUGACAAUUUCAGUUCUCAAAUGAAAAAGGAAAUGAAGUCUGAAUGUUUCAAAACUUUGGGCACUUUAGCUGACAAUUAGAGUUUGUUGGUAACAAGGACAAAGAGGUGCAAAUGUGACCCUACCUGAAUGUCAUGGCUGUCACCUACCUUCGUUCCUAGACUCCGAAUACCAAUAGUGUGAAGUGUUCUUGUAGGAAAAAAUAUUUUAGAGGGGACCGUGUUAAG